UACGUAGGGUGCAAGCGUUAAUCGGAAUUACUGGGCGUAAAGCGCGCGUAGGUGGUUUGGUGAGUCGGAUGUGAAAUCCCCGGGCUUAACCUGGGAAUUGCAUUCGAUACUGCCUGACUCGAGUGUGGAAGAGGGAAGCGGAAUUUCCGGUGUAGCGGUGAAAUGCGUAGAUAUCGGAAGGAACACCAGUGGCGAAGGCGGCUUCCUGGUCCAACACUGACACUGAGGCGCGAAAGCGUGGGUAGCGAACAGG
Molecule: ribosomal RNA, 253 nt
Filed under: uncultured Piscirickettsiaceae bacterium
Lineage: Bacteria; Pseudomonadati; Pseudomonadota; Gammaproteobacteria; Thiotrichales; Piscirickettsiaceae
Description: partial 16S ribosomal RNA
Rfam family: Bacterial small subunit ribosomal RNA
Source: RNAcentral